Molecule: small nucleolar RNA, 131 nt
Filed under: Dendroctonus ponderosae (mountain pine beetle)
Lineage: Eukaryota; Metazoa; Arthropoda; Insecta; Coleoptera; Curculionidae
Description: Small Cajal body specific RNA 8
Rfam family: Small Cajal body specific RNA 8
About the family: scaRNAs are a specific class of small nuclear RNAs which localise to the Cajal bodies and guide the modification of RNA polymerase II transcribed spliceosomal RNAs U1, U2, U4, U5 and U12. U92 belong to the H/ACA box class of guide RNAs as it has the predicted hairpin-hinge-hairpin-tail structure, conserved H/ACA-box motifs and is found associated with GAR1. Its is predicted to guide the pseudouridylation of residues U44 in U2 snRNA.
Source: Rfam by way of RNAcentral
CGGAAGGGCUCAUACAUGUGCAAUAUUCUCUUAAUGAACUGCACACCACAUACCUUCCAAAAUUAUUGUUGCUCUCUGAUGACCGCAGUUGGUUAAGUUUUUAACUGGGGACAGAUACGGGGCACACACCA